This 90-nucleotide transfer RNA is filed under the name Nitrospira sp. RNAcentral describes it as "tRNA-Ser". It matches the Rfam family "tRNA". From Rfam's summary of the family: Transfer RNA (tRNA) molecules are approximately 80 nucleotides in length. Their secondary structure includes four short double-helical elements and three loops (D, anti-codon, and T loops). Lineage: Bacteria; Pseudomonadati; Nitrospirota; Nitrospiria; Nitrospirales; Nitrospiraceae. The record is from RNAcentral. RNAcentral also lists the same sequence under 1 other name.
GGAGAGGUGCUGGAGUCCGGUCGAUCAGGACGGUCUCGAAAACCGUUGUCCCGUAAGGGACCGUGGGUUCAAAUCCCACCCUCUCCGCCA